RNAcentral lists this transfer RNA (63 nucleotides) under Andrena angustior. RNAcentral describes it as "tRNA-Thr". It matches the Rfam family "tRNA". From Rfam's summary of the family: Transfer RNA (tRNA) molecules are approximately 80 nucleotides in length. Their secondary structure includes four short double-helical elements and three loops (D, anti-codon, and T loops). Lineage: Eukaryota; Metazoa; Arthropoda; Insecta; Hymenoptera; Andrenidae. The record is from RNAcentral.
AUCUAUAUAGUUUAAAUUAAAACCUUAAUUUUGUAAAUUAAAAAUAGAAUCUUCUUAUAGAUA